UUGAAGAUUAUAUUUUGAGUCCUCGUCUCCUUGAGACUUCUCAGUUUUUUAGGUAGAGAGUCCUCUAGUUGGUGGUUGAAAUUGAACUCAGGUGUUGUUUGCUUUUGAUAGAAGAAUUCCCGAACCUUUGAAUUUCUUAGUAUUAGGAAACAUUUGGGUUGUUCUGUUGGUGUAUCAGUUGUAAUAUGUUACCCUACAAAAUGGGUUAGUUUAUCUCUUCUAAGUUAAGCUAUAUUUGGAUAAUGAAAGACUGUUGAUGAAUGUUGUUUAUUGUCUUUGAACUCCAUUGAUAUUGCUUGGGAAAUUGAUGCCGACUCAGUAGGGCAUUUUGUCAAACACCUGUGGUGCAUCCAUGAAUACCUCUUAACUCUCCAGAUGUACGGGAUGAGACUUAUACAGCAUUCGAAAACAUCUAUCCGGUCCUUUCAGAGUUUAGAAAGGUUCAGCAAUGAUCGAUUAUGGUGGCGGCUCAUCGCUGAGCGUAUGCAUCUCAUUUAAUGAUAAUGGCAGAGAAUUCAAGCGUGAAACCUGACACAGGGACAGUGCAGCUGGAUCUUAAGCUGUAGUUCUGUUCACAAGGGUCUAAUGUUCCAUUCAUAGAAUUUUUUUGAUCUUUUGCCCUCCCAAAGUGGUGUACAUGGACAAAGGGUGAAAUGUACUCAUGUGGUUUCUGUAAUCAUGUGCUGUUUGUUUGGGAUUUGGAAGGAGAAGCAAAAUUGAAUCACAUUUUAAUGUUUUUUCCCCAUGAUUCUUGUUAUGAGGAUUAUUGUUGCUCUAGUAGUAACAACUCCA
Molecule: long non-coding RNA, 792 nt
Organism: Tripterygium wilfordii
Lineage: Eukaryota; Viridiplantae; Streptophyta; Magnoliopsida; Celastrales; Celastraceae
Exons: 3
Source: RefSeq, a predicted model, not a curated record